RNAcentral lists this ribosomal RNA (467 nucleotides) under uncultured bacterium. Its description in RNAcentral is "partial 16S ribosomal RNA". It matches the Rfam family "Bacterial small subunit ribosomal RNA", at positions 28 to 507 of the family's 1533-position model. The record is from RNAcentral.
GAUGAACGCUGGCGGCGUGCUUAACACAUGCAAGUCGAACGAUGAUGCCCAGCUUGCUGGGUGGAUUAGUGGCGAACGGGUGAGUAACACGUGAGUAACCUGCCCUUGACUCUGGGAUAAGCCUGGGAAACUGGGUCUAAUACCGGAUACGACCAUCUGGCGCAUGUCAUGGUGGUGGAAAGCUUUUGUGGUUUUGGAUGGACUCGCGGCCUAUCAGCUUGUUGGUGGGGUAAUGGCCUACCAAGGCGACGACGGGUAGCCGGCCUGAGAGGGUGACCGGCCACACUGGGACUGAGACACGGCCCAGACUCCUACGGGAGGCAGCAGUGGGGAAUAUUGCACAAUGGGCGCAAGCCUGAUGCAGCGACGCCGCGUGAGGGAUGACGGCCUUCGGGUUGUAAACCUCUUUCAGUAGGGAAGAAGCGAAGGUGACGGUACCUGCAGAAGAAGCGCCGGCUAACUACGUG